RNAcentral lists this long non-coding RNA (1580 nucleotides) under Pandoravirus celtis. RNAcentral describes it as "hypothetical ncRNA". The record is from RNAcentral.
GUGCACCGUGUGCCACGGCCGCGGGCGCCAGCGACGCGCACAAGAGGUCGGGCCGGGCGCGCUCGGCCGGCGUUGGGUCGACACCCCACAGAGCGGCCACGUCCAAAAGGCGAUCGGCACCGACGAGACGUCCAUCGGUACCACGCUCGGCCGUCGGCGACGCGCACGUACGUCGCCAUAUGUCAAAGGCCAGCGGUUCGGCCAGUUCCAUUGGUAGACCUGUCGGGUCAAAGCGCGCCUCGGUGGCGCCGACGGCAGCCUCGUGCGCGAGGCGCAUGAGCGUCUCGACCUGGGUGACGGGGGCAAACGGGUCAGUCGGCGGACGCACGUCGGGCCGAUAAAGUUGAAUGGCGGUGGCGCCAGCGUCGGCACCGGCCAUUUGCGACAGCAAGAGCGCCAGCGAGCAGGCGUCGAUCCAGGCCGCCCAGGUCUUGGAACGCCCGCCGAGACGCAUGAUGCGACCGGGCGACCACGGACGCACGGCAUCGAGCACGGCCGGCGGCAGGUCGGCCCAUGAAGGCAAGAGGGCCAUGAUGGCGCGCACGGCCAGUACGGCAUCGCCGACCCCAACGUCAAUCUCGUCGUCGGGCAGGCCGGCGCCGUCGAGGAGCCACGGCACAAAGGCCGCAUAGGGACGCGCCGCCGGCGGCAGCGCAUCGAGGUCGCCGAUGAAAUCGCGAUCGGGCGCCAUCGAUCCGAGCACGCGCGCCUCGGCACCGCCAUUGGUCACGGCCACGAGAUGCACAGUGGCGCCCCGCGACCCGCGCUCGGCCAGCACCAGGUAGAGUGUGUCGUCGUCGGGAUCGCAGCGGGGGUCGACCGCGCGUGGCCAGUCGCCCAUGAUGGCGCGUAGGGUCAGACUGCCCUGGGCGUUCAUGGUCGUUCGUCGUGCAUAGGCCGCCAUGCGGCUCUCUGUCCGUCGUCGGUACAGGGCACCAAUAUUGCGCACGAGUCUGGCCAGGCCCUGGGAUCGGGUGGCCUCUUGGCCAAUGAUCUCCUGGGCGGCAAAGUGUGCCUCGGGCGUGCCGACGAGGCUCGUGUACACGCCGACAAUGUCCUCGAUGCCGGGCGGCCAUUGCGGGCCCAAAUUCGACGCCAGGGCAUACUUGAUGGCGGUCGACGCCCACGGGUCGGCGUCGAUGGCCUCCCACAUGCCUCUAUAGGCCUCGGCAAAGGCGCAGCCGUCCCAUCCCUCGCCGUCGCCCCAGUCAUCGAAAAAGGCCUGUUCGUCGAGGCGCGUGAGGAGCGGGUCCGAUGCAACUUCAUCGCCUUCGCCAUUCAUGUUCCAUGCGCGGCAGGCCGCGUCGAGGCGCGACGCAUACGAGGCGGCGCGACCGUCGGCAGGCGCGUCGGCCACAAGGCCUUCAGGAAGAGUGUCGGCGCCUAGCAGAGCCGGUGCAGUCGUCGCGGGUUCCUCCAUCGGCCUCCUUCCUUGUUGUUUUUAAUUUUCGUCGGCGUGUGUCCAAUAUAACGUGUGAGUUGUCUUUUGUUGUGCCGACGCCGUCUUUUCGGUCAAACAAAACAAAAUGGAAAAAAAACAAAGGGGAAAAAGGUUUUCUUUUUCCUCUGUGGCGCGUGCG